This 68-nucleotide transfer RNA is filed under the name Sphingonotus ningsianus. RNAcentral describes it as "tRNA-Cys". Lineage: Eukaryota; Metazoa; Arthropoda; Insecta; Orthoptera; Acrididae. The record is from RNAcentral. RNAcentral also lists the same sequence under 4 other names.
GGCCUUAUAUUCAAUUAUGAUUUUAGACUGCAAUUCUAGAGGUGUGGAAUAUUAUUUUACUAAGGCCU